UGCGUGAAGUCGGAAUUGCUAGUAAUCGCGGAUCAGCAUGCCGCGGUGAAUACGUUCUCGGGCCUUGUACACACCGCCCGUCACACCAUGGGAGUCGGUAACACCCGAAGUCUGUAGCCUGACGCAAGAGGGCGCAGCCGAAGGUGGGAUUGAUGACUGGGGUGAAGUCGUAACAAGGUACC
RNAcentral lists this ribosomal RNA (182 nucleotides) under uncultured bacterium. RNAcentral's name for it is "partial 16S ribosomal RNA". It matches the Rfam family "Bacterial small subunit ribosomal RNA", at positions 1317 to 1500 of the family's 1533-position model. The record is from RNAcentral.